UGCGUAGGCGGCUUUUUAAGUCAGGGGUGAAAGACGGUAGCUCAACUAUCGCAGUGCCCUUGAUACUGAAGAGCUUGAAUGAACUAGAGGUAGGCGGAAUGUGACAAGUAGCGGUGAAAUGCAUAGAUAUGUCACAGAACACCGAUUGCGAAGGCAGCUUACUAUGGUUUAAUUGACGCUGAGGCACGAAAGCGUGGGGAUCAAACAGGAUUAGAUACCCUGGUAGUCCACGCCCUAAACGAUGAAUACUCGCUGUUAGCGAUACACAGUUAGCGGCUAAGCGAAAGCGUUAAGUAUUCCACCUGGGGAGUACGGUCGCAAGAUUGAA
Molecule: ribosomal RNA, 328 nt
Filed under: uncultured Pedobacter sp.
Lineage: Bacteria; Pseudomonadati; Bacteroidota; Sphingobacteriia; Sphingobacteriales; Sphingobacteriaceae
Description: bacterial SSU rRNA
Rfam family: Bacterial small subunit ribosomal RNA
Source: RNAcentral